GUACAAUGGAAGCCCUUCUGCCUUGCUCAAGACUGGAUGUCCCUCUUUUCUAACUUGCCUAAACACCAUCGGCACACAGCACAGUCCUUUGAGUGGGUCUCACACUGGACACAGCAUCGAGGAGCUUCUCCACGGGGAAGUGUGUGUGUGAGAGCCUGCCUGUGUGUCAACACUGUCCAAGACUCGGAGCUGCGACUCGGUCGCGUGGUGCGGAGUCCAGGGCUGAGAAGGCAGCGCACUAAAUAUCUCUGUAUCAGGUGGACCCAGCCGAACUCCGCAGCAGCCCAGGCCAGCGCCCCACCUCCGGGUCACCGGCAUGAUCCGCCUCUCCCCGGGCCCCCGCGGCCCUGGCACCCGAGGUCAGCGGGCCGUGGGUACAGCUCAGCCGCGGACCCUGCUCCGCGAGUGCGGGAGCUUUGGACUUGAACGCGACGUGCUCGCCCGGCUCCCAACAAACUUGCAAUUUCCGCGCGCACCCCUUAAACAGGAACUGUUCCCCAAACCUUGACCCAGCUACCCCGCUGUGCUCUGGCCCGCGGACCUGUGUCCGAACCCGGGCUCGGCUGCCGGAACCGGUUUGAGAAAACAAAAGAGUUGUGGGGCAGUUUUCCCUGUGGGGGGCAGGGGCGCCUCCCAGGUCCCUGCACCCCGACUCCCGGCUGCUCCCCUGGCAACUAAUCCGGAGAAGGGAAGUGGUGCCACGAGCCCCCACUGCCCGGGGAGGGAGGGAGAGAGAAGGGGGAACUGGGAAAUAAACUGAAUUCUCUUACUCUGCCUCCGUUCCUGGACCCCAGACACACCCCCAAAGUAUUCCACGGUUUUCUCUUAUUAUUUUUUUAAACGCCCCCCGGCAAACCUAGGCAGGGAUCCUUAGCCGCGAACAGCAGGAAGGAAAGAAUCCGAGCAAAUCGUGUCACUUUCCGCACAAUCGCGGUGUUUGGCAAGCCCCCGGAGCUACUCCACAAUAUUUACUACCCAAGCGCACGCAGGCUGCAGCGGGCUGCGAGCCGAGCGCGCCCGGGACCGGCCUCCGCCAAGCCGGCCCCGCCGCGGCCCGGCCACCGCCGCUCCCCUCCCAGGAUCAAGCAGCAAGAACACGGUGGAAACAAAAGCAGAGCGUUCACCUUGUUGCAAUAUGUUCAGCAAAACAAGCUUAGACGGAACAGAGUGAGGUGUCUGGGCUCAGGAGUAAAAGAAACACCUUCCUUCCCUCACAUCCGUUUGUGGUUUGUUUAAGAAGAAGAGGAAAAAAAAAAAAAAGAGGGGGGAAAAGCGCUCAACUCUCCCCCAAGCCGCGGCGCGCACCCGUCGGCGCCGAGCGCGCAGCCUGCUCCACCGCCGCCUCUUGGUCCCGCCGCCGCCGCUGCCGCCGCCGCCGGGCAGCUGGACGCCCUAUAGGGCUCUUGGCAGUCCACGAAAGACCUGGAGUCCGCCUCCCCAUUUCUCCGGUCGGUGAGUGGCAGGAGGAAAUCGCCAAACAUGUUUUCCCGCUUUGCCUCCCCAACUCGGAAACUUGCAACUUGCCGUGUCCUGGAGGUUGAGACAAUUUGGGGUCUCUUGGCUGCCGUCCAACAGAUUUAUCUCUGAGGGCAGUGUCCUUGGUGAGAGGUCCAAGUAGGUGUGGGCGACAUUGUCCUCCAUCUCAUGAGGGAGCAGCCCUGCACACUAGGGCCCAAAACUCUGCGAAGGAGCUUGGAAGUUCUUCAUCCGUUCCACUUGUUUUGCUACUCCACACACCCUUCUAGGACAUGUUGAUUGCCAACUGCUCUGUGCAGCUUUCCCAUAGCUGUCUGUUCCCGUGCAUUUCGGAGCACCAAGCAAAUACGAGCAGAGAGACCUGGAAAAAAAAAUGAUGAAGACAGUAUUAAUGAUAAAAUUAACAUGGCUGAGUGAAUUGUCAAUGCAAGUUCCUUUACUAACUCUUUGUUAAGUUUUGCUUUGUACUCCUUACAUCCUCUUUCUCUUAAGCCAUUGUUUUAAUUUCUUCUCGUUAUCAUUUUUAAAAGUAACAGAAAUACAGCUUUCUUCCUACCUUCACGAUUGACUUGGUGGAGGUUGGGUUGCAAAGAGGAAGCAGUAAGAAAAAAUAAUUAUUCUAUACAUUCACAAGUCCUUCAAGGCACAAAAUAAAAGUAAGAAAUAGAAAAUAUGUCCUUUCUCCUAAUAAAGGUCUUUAUAAUAAAAUUUAAAUGAAGUUUUGUGUUUCAUAACAGCUUCCCAAAUACUGUUGUAGAUACUAAAAUGUGCCUGUAUGUAUUUCCUUCCACAAUAAUAAUAGUAAUAAUAAACUUUUUUAGGUCCAAAUUAAACAUUUCUCAGCUUAAAUUUCUAUCCUCAAUCCAACAUUUAUUAUAUCAAAACUUGAUUUUUAAAAAUAAAACUUUCUUGGAAUUCAUCAUUGAUGUCUGUUUGAUGGCCUCGUGAACAUCAGGAAGAUGAAAUGAAAUGGUUCAAGACUGGAACAAUACCAUUAUCUGCAUCUUGACUCCUGGGAGAUAAUGAUAUCUCCUGCUUUCCUCUACAGACCUACCAGUUUUCUCUGCUUUAAGGGAAAAUCCAAAUGCAUGAGACCUGUGCAUUCUUCUACAUAAUCAAGAGUCUGGUUUCUUCCAUCGGAGUGUAUGGAGUUAAAGUGGUAUACUGUACAUGGCAUGGUGUGAUAGGUGGGAAUAUGAGCUACUGGGGGAAAAAGUUCUUACUUCUAGCCACUUAUACAAAGAGAGGCCAUCUCAGUGUAAUCUGAAAAAAUGCUCACUUUAUAAUGCUGUAUCCAAGGCCCAUCAAAAACUAAAUGGAUGUAUUUGUACUAAAAGUUGGGGAAAGUUGAAUAUCUAAACCUCUGAGCAAAUCUUUCUUAAUUUAGAAAAUAAAAUAGAGCAUCAUUGUAAUACUUUUCAGUUUCCUGGACAUUCAACUCCA
RNAcentral lists this long non-coding RNA (2919 nucleotides) under Homo sapiens (human). RNAcentral's name for it is "HSALNT0347071". Lineage: Eukaryota; Metazoa; Chordata; Mammalia; Primates; Hominidae. The record is from RNAcentral.